This 1012-nucleotide long non-coding RNA is filed under the name Sus scrofa (pig). RNAcentral describes it as "lncRNA (ENSSSCG00025012629.1)". Lineage: Eukaryota; Metazoa; Chordata; Mammalia; Artiodactyla; Suidae. The record is from RNAcentral.
GAGCGGGGCGGGGCCCGGGGGCAAGAUGGCGGCCUCGCGGCGAGGCCAAGUUUUCACCUAUCCUCACGGCUUCCUGGUCCUUGACCUGACUCUGCUCUUCCUGAUGGGGAUUCUGGAAGCAACGCGGCUGUACCUCGGCACCAAGGGCAACCUGACGGAGGCCGAGGUGCCGCUGGCCGCCAGCCUGGUCCUGACUGUGGGCGGCACCCUGCUGGCCAUCUACUUCCUGCUCUGGCAGACCCUGGUGCUGCGGGCAGACUGGGUCCUUGGCGCCACGCUCCUGGUGCUCCAUGGCCUGGAGGCCGUCCUGCAGGUGGUGGCCAUCGCCGGCUUUGUCAGCUAGGCCCCUGCGGCAGCCCCGGCCAGGAGCCCUUCCUGAGGGUGAGACGGCCUGCCAGCCGUUGCCCAGGGGGAGGGCGUCCUUCUGCUGAUGCGCCAUGACCUUGGAGGGCCUGGCGGCUUGGGUGAUCUCUGAGUCCUUGAGGCGGAGAUGGGCUCAGGAGCCAGGGCAGAGCAAAAUGCUGGGGCAGGCGGGGGCCCAGCGGAAGCCGGGACUGCCCGGGCGUCCUCCUCAGGAAGCGCAGGCCCCGCUUGGCUGGCAGGACCUCCAUUCAGCAACCGCCCUGCCCCCUGGGCCGGAAGGCAGCGAGGGGCCGGGGACGAGCCCCGGGCAGACGCUGCUCUGCCUCUUCCACGAGAGAGUAAUGCCAGAGAGCCAGGGCUUCUUCCCCCCGGGGACACAGGAAAGGCGAGCUUGAAGCGCCAGUGCCCAGGGGACAGAGCGCCUCCCUCAGCAGGACGUUGGCCCUGGGCACCGGGGACUUCGCCAGGGGGACCUUUGCCCACUCACAGACCCACUCCAGUGCCUCUGGAAGAAACCUGAGCUGAUGUUUUCUGGCAACUUUCAUUUGUUUCAGUUGUACAUUUUCUGUGUUUGGAAUAAUACCGUGUUUGAAUAUCUAGACAUUUUUCUCUUCACUGUAGUUUUUAAAUAAAGCGUUUAUCCUUCCCU